Molecule: non-coding RNA, 28 nt
Filed under: Bombyx mori (domestic silkworm)
Lineage: Eukaryota; Metazoa; Arthropoda; Insecta; Lepidoptera; Bombycidae
Source: RNAcentral
UGCAGGAAACCACUUUGUCGGCAGAUGU